UGAUGAAUGAGGUGCUGGGAGUCGGGGUAAUAUGUGUGUGGCAAGGGUUUGUCGGAGUUAGUGGGGUUAAAGGGGUGGUAUGUGGUGUCGUAAGUCAGUUGUGAAAGACGGCAGCUUAACUGUCGGUGUGCAAUUGAUACGGGGACACUUGAGUACUGAUGAGGUAAGCGGAAUGGACGGUGUAGCGGUGAAAUGCUUAGAUAUCGUCCAGAACACCGAUAGCGAAGGCAGCUUACUAAGGAGUAACUGACGCUGAGGCACGAAAGUGUGGGGAUCAAACAGGAUUAGAUACCCUAAGUC
RNAcentral lists this ribosomal RNA (300 nucleotides) under uncultured Rickettsia sp. Its description in RNAcentral is "bacterial SSU rRNA". It matches the Rfam family "Bacterial small subunit ribosomal RNA", at positions 494 to 795 of the family's 1533-position model. Lineage: Bacteria; Pseudomonadati; Pseudomonadota; Alphaproteobacteria; Rickettsiales; Rickettsiaceae. The record is from RNAcentral.